Molecule: ribosomal RNA, 253 nt
Filed under: uncultured bacterium
Lineage: Bacteria
Description: partial 16S ribosomal RNA
Rfam family: Bacterial small subunit ribosomal RNA
Source: RNAcentral
UACGUAGGGGGCAAGCGUUGUUCGGAAUUACUGGGCGUAAAGGGCGCGUAGGCGGCACGGCAAGUCGGGAGUGAAAGCCCGGGGCUCAACCCCGGAACUGCUCACGAAACUGCCGAGCUAGAGUGCGGAAGAGGCAACUGGAAUUCCCAGUGUAGCGGUGAAAUGCGUAGAUAUUGGGAAGAACACCGGAGGCGAAGGCGGGUUGCUGGGCCGACACUGACGCUGAGGCGCGAAAGCCAGGGGAGCGAACGGG